RNAcentral lists this ribosomal RNA (292 nucleotides) under uncultured bacterium. Its description in RNAcentral is "partial 16S ribosomal RNA". It matches the Rfam family "Bacterial small subunit ribosomal RNA", at positions 505 to 796 of the family's 1533-position model. The record is from RNAcentral.
GUGUCAGCCGCCGCGGUAAUACGAAGGGGGCUAGCGUUGCUCGGAAUCACUGGGCGUAAAGCGCACGUAGGCGGCUUUUUAAGUCAGGGGUGAAAUCCUGGAGCUCAACUCCAGAACUGCCUUUGAUACUGAGAAGCUUGAGUCCGGGAGAGGUGAGUGGAACUGCGAGUGUAGAGGUGAAAUUCGUAGAUAUUCGCAAGAACACCAGUGGCGAAGGCGGCUCACUGGCCCGGUACUGACGCUGAGGUGCGAAAGCGUGGGGAGCAAACAGGAUUAGAUACCCCCGUAGUCC